CGAAUUUAAGCUAGUACAAAGUAUAAACAAUCAGAACUAUACAUGUUUACUAAUCUCUACUUAGGAGUAAACCCGAUGAAACCCACCUGUAAAGCUAAAUCCUUGGCAGCGAAGAGGCCUCGAACCAAUACUAACCCUUGCUGGAUCAACCGAACUCUUCCAAGACCAGUAAUCAAGCUAUCUCCAAGCUCUAUACAUGGAAAUCCAUCACUUAGCACCAAUUUCAGCACUUAAGCUUAAUUUAACCAAAUUGGAAAUGCAAAAUUUACCUUGUAAACUCCAAUUUGGUUGAGUUAAAGAUCCAAUACUAGGUUAUUAAACUGGAGUAUCAAGCUCAGCUCCAAAACCAGACCCUUCAAAGAAUUACAUCAAGAGAAACUCAAAAACUCGAAAAUCUGCUCAAUACAACAGCAGCAGAGAAGAAUUGGAGUUCGACUAAGCUAACCUUCACCAAAUUCAGAAAUCUUGGGCUUCGUGGAUUCCUCUCGAAGUCCUGAAUCCAACGAACCAAGUUUCGCUGCAAUCCGACGCUCCUACGUCGCACACAAGCCAAAACACC
This 559-nucleotide long non-coding RNA is filed under the name Ananas comosus (pineapple). RNAcentral's name for it is "long non-coding RNA (ACOM_LNC026530)". Lineage: Eukaryota; Viridiplantae; Streptophyta; Magnoliopsida; Poales; Bromeliaceae. The record is from RNAcentral.